This 459-nucleotide ribosomal RNA is filed under the name uncultured bacterium. RNAcentral's name for it is "partial 16S ribosomal RNA". It matches the Rfam family "Bacterial small subunit ribosomal RNA", at positions 338 to 795 of the family's 1533-position model. The record is from RNAcentral.
CCUACGGGCGGCUGCAGUGAGGAAUAUUGGUCAAUGGACGAGAGUCUGAACCAGCCAAGUAGCGUGAAGGAUGACUGCCCUCUGGGUUGUAAACUUCUUUUAUAUGGGAAUAAAAUGAUUCACGUGUGGGAUUAUGUAUGUACUAUAUGUAUCUGGAUCGGCUCACUCCGUGCCAGCCGCCGCGGUAAUACGGUGGAUGCGAUCGUUAUCCGGAUUUAUUGGGUUUAAAGGGUGCGUAGGCGGAUUUUUAAGUGAGUGGUAAAAUGUCCGGGCUCAACCCAGGCGGGCCAUUGAUACUGGGGAUCUUGAGUAUGAGAGAAGUAUGCGGAAUGCGUGGUGUAGCGGUGAAAUGCGUAGAUAUCACGCAGAACUCCGAUUGCGAAGGCAGCAUACCGGCGCCCGACUGACACUGAGGCACGAAAGCGUGGGGAUCGAACAGGAUUAGAUACCCUAGUAGUC